Molecule: ribosomal RNA, 253 nt
Filed under: uncultured bacterium
Lineage: Bacteria
Description: partial 16S ribosomal RNA
Rfam family: Bacterial small subunit ribosomal RNA
Source: RNAcentral
UACGUAGGGUGCAGGCGUUACUCGGAAUUACUGGGCGUAAAGCGUGCGCAGGCGGCUCCUUAAGUCAGAUGUGAAAGCCCCGGGCUUAACCUGGGAACUGCGUUUGAAACUGGGGAGCUAGAGUGUAGAAGAGGGGGGUGGAAUUCCAGGUGUAGCAGUGAAAUGCGUAGAGAUCUGGAGGAACACCGAUGGCGAAGGCAGCCCCCUGGGCUAACACUGACGCUCAUGCACGAAAGCUGGGGGAGCAAACCGG